GUGGGGAAUAUUCCGCAAUGGACGAAAGUCUGACGGAGCAACGCCGCGUGAGUGAUGAAGGUUUUCGGACUGUAAAGCUCUGUUGUUCAGGACGAAAGUGCCUGUUGCGAACAGUUACAGGUAUUGACGGUACUGAACGAGGAAGCCACGGCUAACUACGUGCCAGCAGCCGCGGUAAUACGUAGGUGGCAAGCGUUGUCCGGAAUUAUUGGGCGUAAAGAGCAUGUAGGCGGGAAUCUAAGUCUGUUGUGAAAAUGCGGGGCUCAACCCCGUAUGGCGAUGGAAACUGGAUUUCUUGAGUGCAGGAGAGGAAAGGGGAAUUCCCAGUGUAGCGGUGAAAUGCGUAGAUAUUGGGAGGAACACCAGUGGCGAAGGCGCCUUUCUGGACUGUGUCUGACGCUGAGAUGCGAAAGCCAGGGUAGCGAACGGGAUUAGAAACCCUGGUAGUCC
This 450-nucleotide ribosomal RNA is filed under the name uncultured bacterium. RNAcentral's name for it is "partial 16S ribosomal RNA". It matches the Rfam family "Bacterial small subunit ribosomal RNA", at positions 354 to 796 of the family's 1533-position model. The record is from RNAcentral.